This 502-nucleotide ribosomal RNA is filed under the name uncultured bacterium. RNAcentral's name for it is "partial 16S ribosomal RNA". It matches the Rfam family "Bacterial small subunit ribosomal RNA", at positions 899 to 1397 of the family's 1533-position model. The record is from RNAcentral.
ACUCAAAGGAAUAGACGGGGACCCGCACAAGCGGUGGAGCAUGUGGUUCAAUUCGACGCAACGCGAAAAACCUUACCUGGGUUUGACAUGUCGGUGGUAGUGAACCGAAAGGGGAGCGACCCCGCAAGGGGAGCCGACACAGGUGCUGCAUGGCUGUCGUCAGCUCGUGUCGUGAGAUGUUGGGUUAAGUCCCGCAACGAGCGCAACCCUCGCCCCUAGUUGCCAGCGGGUCAUGCCGGGAACUCUAGGGGGACUGCCCCGGUUAACGGGGAGGAAGGUGGGGAUGACGUCAAGUCAUCAUGGCCUUUAUGCCCAGGGCUACACACGUGCUACAAUGGCCGGUACAAAGGGUUGCAAACCCGUGAGGGGGAGCCAAUCCCAAAAAGUCGGUCCCAGUUGGGAUCGCAGUCUGCAACUCGACUGCGUGAACGCGGAAUCGCUAGUAAUCGCGAAUCAGCAGGUCGCGGUGAAUACGUUCCCGGGUCCUGCACACACCGCCCGU